RNAcentral lists this ribosomal RNA (497 nucleotides) under uncultured bacterium. Its description in RNAcentral is "partial 16S ribosomal RNA". It matches the Rfam family "Bacterial small subunit ribosomal RNA", at positions 28 to 507 of the family's 1533-position model. The record is from RNAcentral.
GAUGAACGCUGGCGGCGUGCCUAAUACAUGCAAGUCGAGCGAACGGACGAGAAGCUUGCUUCUCUGAUGUUAGCGGCGGACGGGUGAGUAACACGUGGAUAACCUACCUAUAAGACUGGGAUAACUUCGGGAAACCGGAGCUAAUACCGGAUAAUAUUUUGAACCGCAUGGUUCAAAAGUGAAAGACGGUUUUGCUGUCACUUAUAGAUGGAUCCGCGCUGCAUUAGCUAGUUGGUAAGGUAACGGCUUACCAAGGCAACGAUGCAUAGCCGACCUGAGAGGGUGAUCAGCCACACUGGAACUGAGACACGGUCCAGACUCCUACGGGAGGCAGCAGUAGGGAAUCUUCCGCAAUGGGCGAAAGCCUGACGGAGCAACGCCGCGUGAGUGAUGAAGGUCUUCGGAUCGUAAAACUCUGUUAUUAGGGAAGAACAUAUGUGUAAGUAACUGUGCACAUCUUGACGGUACCUAAUCAGAAAGCCACGGCUAACUACGUG